Phasianus colchicus (ring-necked pheasant) is the source of this 298-nucleotide long non-coding RNA. Lineage: Eukaryota; Metazoa; Chordata; Aves; Galliformes; Phasianidae. The record is from Ensembl.
UGUGGGGAAUAUGGAGCCAAGCCUUCUGCGUGGGAACAAAUCAGUGCCAGUCGCUUCAUGGAUGAGACAAAGACCAGAGAUAAAGAAGCCCAAAGCCACCUGUGUCCUCGUGAUUCUCUGGGAGAGGAACACACCAAGGGCUGCCUGUAUUCCAUGCAUCCCUGGUCAGGCCUGCAAGAAGGAAAUCAUAGCUGCUACAACACAGCAAAGGGAAGGUGGUUUUUUUGACAGUAAGUACUUCUUUACUCUUAUUUUGCCUAUAUCUAAUGAUGCUAUUUUGGUGUGCAGUGAAGCUUAA